Molecule: ribosomal RNA, 253 nt
Filed under: uncultured bacterium
Lineage: Bacteria
Description: partial 16S ribosomal RNA
Rfam family: Bacterial small subunit ribosomal RNA
Source: RNAcentral
GACAGAGGGGGCAAGCGUUGUUCGGAAUUACUGGGCGUAAAGGGCGCGUAGGCGGCCUGCUAAGUCGAACGUGAAAUCCCCGGGCUCAACCCGGGAACUGCGUCCGAUACUGACAGGCUUGAAUCCGGGAGAGGGAUGUGGAAUUCCAGGUGUAGCGGUGAAAUGCGUAGAUAUCUGGAGGAACACCGGUGGCGAAGGCGGCAUCCUGGACCGGUAUUGACGCUGAUGCGCGAAAGCCAGGGGAGCAAACGGG